RNAcentral lists this long non-coding RNA (355 nucleotides) under Carica papaya (papaya). Its description in RNAcentral is "long non-coding RNA (CPAP_LNC006295)". Lineage: Eukaryota; Viridiplantae; Streptophyta; Magnoliopsida; Brassicales; Caricaceae. The record is from RNAcentral.
CCGCGUAUCCGCUGCCGCCUCGUCCGGCUCCGACACUCACGAGACGCGUGGCCUCCUCGCUUGCGGGACCGGCGUCGGUGUCGCCAUCUUCGCUAACAAAUUUCCCGGCGUCUAUGCCGCCACCUGCCUCACCGUCGCGGAGGCACGCAAUACUCGCUCAAUCAACAACUGCAACGUUCUCGCUCUCUCCGGCAUGGCCACCGAUCGUGAAUCCGCUGUUGAUAUCGUCACCGCCUGGCUGAAUACUCCUUUCAAGUCUCCUUGCCCUGCAUCAGACAACGAGCCCUGGAACCCUGAGAUCUCGACUUUCUUCGACAAUUCUCUGGCGGAGAUGGCCAAAAUCGGCGAGAAAGAC